UGGGGAAUUUUGGACAAUGGGCGCAAGCCUGAUCCAGCCAUGCCGCGUGCGGGAAGAAGGCCUUCGGGUUGUAAACCGCUCUUGUCAGGGAAGAAAUCUUCUGAGUUAAUACCUCGGGAGGAUGACGGUACCUGAAGAAUAAGCACCGGCUAACUACGUGCCAGCAGCCGCGGUAAUACGUAGGGUGCAAGUGUUAAUCGGAAUUACUGGGCGUAAAGCGUGCGCAGGCGGUUUUGUAAGACAGAGGUGAAAUCCCCGGGCUCAACCUGGGAACUGCCUUUGUGACUGCAAGGCUUGAGUGCGGCAGAGGGGGAUGGAAUUCCGCGUGUAGCAGUGAAAUGCGUAGAUAUGCGGAGGAACACCGAUGGCGAAGGCAAAUCCCCUGGGCCUGCACUGACGCUCAUGCACGAAAGCGUGGGGAGCAAACAGGAUUAGAUACCCUGGUAGUCCACGCCCUAAACGAUGUCAACUGGUUGUUGGGAAGGUUCCUUCUCAGUAACGUAGCUAACGCGUGAAGUUGACCGCCUGGGGAGUACGGCCGCAAGGUUG
This 549-nucleotide ribosomal RNA is filed under the name uncultured bacterium. RNAcentral describes it as "partial 16S ribosomal RNA". It matches the Rfam family "Bacterial small subunit ribosomal RNA", at positions 355 to 896 of the family's 1533-position model. The record is from RNAcentral.